Long non-coding RNA from Varroa destructor (honeybee mite), 1138 nucleotides. RefSeq lists it as uncharacterized. NCBI's taxonomy places the organism in Eukaryota, Metazoa, Arthropoda, Arachnida, Mesostigmata, Varroidae. The record is from RefSeq and is a predicted model, not a curated record.
AGGAGUGUUAACUGAUACAGUCAAGCCAUGGACAAAAACCUUUGCUGGAAGCCCUUCCAUCGUAAUACGGUUGUGAAACAUCGAUGGAAAAAAGCCGACCUUGUAGGGGAAAAAGGUCAACCCUUAUAUGAUUGUUGUACUGCGAUCAGCUAUAUGAACACAGAUCUUGAGCGGAGAGUGCCGGAAAAAGUCAACCGAGCAGGAAGUCGAUCGUGAAGAGGACAAAGGAAGGACGACAAUCGUCGUUUAGCUGCAUUACCUUCAAUGAUUGUUACGGGCAGCUUAAUGGAGUUCGCGUGGAGCAUUGCCUAUUGUGAUGAUUCGCUAAUCUCGCAGGGGAAUUAGUUGGGUCGACGAUUGUUGCGAGUCUUGGCCAAACCUUAAAGAACACACACUUAACAGCGAAUCUAUGCAUGAGGUAUGCUGAAGCUUUAUGGUAAUUCAGACUCUGUAUCGCAAGUCGCUCGGUCCUUCGCUUCGGUGAAAACGUCUCGAAACGGGAAUCUGGGGCGUUUUGUAUCAGCAUCUCACGUCUUCGGGGACCAGCUUUUAUAGAUUCGUCUUCGGCAAGUUGAUGAUAUAAACUUACAUGGAACUAUCUAUCGUGCAACGUUCAUCGCAAAGGGUUCGGAGUGCGUCGUAUUCGUUGGGCGUGCCAGAUACAAAUCUGUAUGUUGGUGCCGGGUCCCUUAGAUUGUAGCUAAAUAGAUUACAACUAGCGGCGUAAAACUGUCUGGAGCACACUGGAAUCUUUGCGUUGAUUAGAUAAGUCUAGAGGCCAUAAAUAGGCUUAUUCUUCUUUAUUAAUCUUACUCGAAAAUAUGUACAUGCGGAUAACUUAAUACUGGAUAAAGUUAUUAAUUACAUUAGGCAAAUUGCGGGUUAGAAUUUUUUUCAAACGAUAAUAUGGUCAAUAAUAAUAGAGAGACAUCGUUGCGAUUAACUAACAACGUUAGCAAAUGAUUGCUCCUUUGUGUGUACUUGCAUAGUUUGUAUAGAAAGCCGAUGAAAGUUCAUGUGAAGUUACUGCCGGAAGCAUUGUCGUUUGGAAAGGUUGAUUACAGCAGUUGGCCAUUGCAUUGCACAAACACUAACUCUAGAAAAUCAUAGUGUAGAAAAUAUAAUGAUAUUUAUUACU